AACGCGAAGAACCUUACCCAGGCUUGAACAGCGAGUGACAAACUACGAAAGUGGUCUUCCGCAAGGACACUCGUAGAGGUGCUGCAUGGCUGUCGUCAGCUCGUGUCGUGAGAUGUUGGGUUAAGUCCCGCAACGAGCGCAACCCUUGUCUUCUGUUGCCAUCAGGUCAAGCUGGGCACUCUGGAGAGACUGCCGGUGAUAAACCGGAGGAAGGUGGGGAUGACGUCAAGUCAGCAUGGCCUUUAUGUCUGGGGCUACACACGUGCUACAAUGGCCGGCACAAACCGUCGCGAGCCCGCAAGGGGGAGCUAAUCGGAGAAAGUCGGUCUCAGUUCGGAUCGUCGGCUGCAACUCGCCGGCGUGAAGUUGGAAUCGCUAGUAAUCGCGGAUCAGCACGCCGCGGUGAAUACGUUCCCGGGCCUUGUACACACCGACGCGUA
RNAcentral lists this ribosomal RNA (440 nucleotides) under uncultured bacterium. Its description in RNAcentral is "bacterial SSU rRNA". It matches the Rfam family "Bacterial small subunit ribosomal RNA", at positions 958 to 1399 of the family's 1533-position model. The record is from RNAcentral.